RNAcentral lists this ribosomal RNA (1116 nucleotides) under Triticum aestivum (bread wheat). Its description in RNAcentral is "partial small subunit ribosomal RNA". The record is from RNAcentral. Lineage: Eukaryota; Viridiplantae; Streptophyta; Magnoliopsida; Poales; Poaceae.
AUGACUCCGUUCGCCUUUUCUAUGCCGUGCGUGGCCGUGGUCGGGGCCUCUCCAUCUCUGCUCCGCAUACACGUACGUUCAGGUGGCUGCCCCCCGCCCUGCAUUUUUCCGACGGCACCUGCAGCCAGUAUGACGGGUGCGGUGGCGUGGCACCUGCCGCCAUUGAGGAUGGCGGCAGCUCGCCCAUCGGGGCUGUAUAGAAAGGACCGCCGCCCAGGAAGAAGCAAGAGACGGGCUCUUCCAGAUCUGGUGGUUCCGCCAUUGCUCGGAGCCACAUCAUCAGCCAGCCAGGUGAGCUUCUCUCGGAUCCGGAUGUCAUACCCAUCUGAAUAUACGCUAUUUCGCGCGGAAGGAAAGAUUCGGCAUGGACCUGAUGGGGUAAAAGUGAGUCCUGAUUGCCCAUUUGUGAUCAGACGGAUGACAGAGCUCAAGGAUAAGCCAUUCCAACAAGUGCGACACCUGGUAAUGAAGGUUUUUCAAUUGAAUGAAGCAACGUACGAGCUCAGUUUGCAGCACCUUGUGUAUUCAAGGACAGAUCCUGGCACUCCUCCAUGCAAUGUACUGAUUCAUAUAAUAGGGGAGGAUUCCUGGAGGACAUUUCUAAAUGUUGCAGCCCGUAAUGUUCGCGCUUUCAGACUGUUCGCCAGAUGGAAUGUCAAGAAAACAAGCUCUACUCCCAAUGCAACUGACAGCAAUAACACAACAAUUCCAGACGAAACCGAUGAAUCCGAUGAUGGGACCUGGCCAAAUUGCAAGCACGAUAGACCAUGCACCAUCGAAACUUCAAGGCGCAACGAAGACCUAGGUCGAAGGUUCUUCCGCUGCCCUCUCUUCAUGCAUUCGGGAGAAGACUGCAAAUUCAGCGAAUGGUUGGACAAGAAGUUCCCUCAGAAUGCAAUCAAAGUCAUCAACAGACUCCAGGACGACGUUGAAUCCCUCCAGCAGCAAGUCGAUAACAUGAAGUGUGAGCUUGAGGAACUCCGUCACCGUCAGAGCAAAAGAGCUACCGAAGAAGCUGUUGCAAGUGAUGGAGACAGGUGCCCCUGUGGCAGCAGCCCUUGCGACUUGGCUUCUCGCAACCGAAGCAAAGCUCCUAGAGUGGCCAAGGACAAUUAG